UGCGCAGGCGGCCAGGUGUGUCAGGUGUGAAAGCCCGGGGCUUAACCCCGGAAUUGCGCCUGAAACUACUUGGCUAGAGCAUUGGAGAGGGUAGCAGAAUUCACGGUGUAGCAGUGAAAUGCGUAGAUAUCGUGAGGAAUACCAGAGGCGAAGGCGGCUACCUGGACAAUUGCUGACGCUCAGGCACGAAAGCGUGGGGAGCAAAAGGGAUUAGAUACCCCUGUAGUCCACGCCCUAAACGGUGCACACUAGGUCUUGGCGGAUUCGACCCCCCCAGGGCCCAAGCUAACGCGUUAAGUGUGCCGCCUGAGGACUACGGCCGCAAGGCUAAA
RNAcentral lists this ribosomal RNA (332 nucleotides) under uncultured bacterium. RNAcentral describes it as "bacterial SSU rRNA". It matches the Rfam family "Bacterial small subunit ribosomal RNA", at positions 568 to 898 of the family's 1533-position model. The record is from RNAcentral.